GGUUACGGCCAUAUCCUGGUAAAAAUCGGCUUCCCGUCCGAUCAGCCAUAAGUCAAGCAACCCAGAGAGCCUAGUUAGUUUGUGUAAGGGGAGAACCAUACGAGAAAAUCCUGGGGGCUGUAAUC
RNAcentral lists this ribosomal RNA (125 nucleotides) under Yarrowia lipolytica. Lineage: Eukaryota; Fungi; Ascomycota; Dipodascomycetes; Dipodascales. The record is from RNAcentral.